CAAAAUUCCACGCAGGGGCCUUGGUUCCAGAGCUCCCUUUCCAGGAGGCUGUUGCGCGGGCUGGCCACCAGGUGGCACUGUUGCAUAGCAAAAGGAACGCGGCUCCGCGCUGGAGAACCGGGCCGGGCUGCGCGGAAGCCCUGGAGGGCCAGCCGGGUGGAGGGAGCUGCAGGAGGGGGCGGCGUGCUUUCCGGGGGUGCAACUUGGUUUUCCCUGGAGGGAUAAAGCUCUCCUUUGGCAGGUGCCUG
RNAcentral lists this long non-coding RNA (248 nucleotides) under Homo sapiens (human). RNAcentral describes it as "HSALNT0171038". Lineage: Eukaryota; Metazoa; Chordata; Mammalia; Primates; Hominidae. The record is from RNAcentral.